GUCUAAGUAGCUCAGGGGUAGAGCGAAAGACUGAAAAUCUUUAAGUCAGGAGUUCAAAUCUCCUCUUAGACA
This 72-nucleotide transfer RNA is filed under the name Proteomonas sulcata. RNAcentral's name for it is "tRNA-Phe". It matches the Rfam family "tRNA". Rfam says of the family: Transfer RNA (tRNA) molecules are approximately 80 nucleotides in length. The record is from RNAcentral. Lineage: Eukaryota; Cryptophyceae; Pyrenomonadales; Geminigeraceae.